Long non-coding RNA from Bos taurus (domestic cattle), 2522 nucleotides. Lineage: Eukaryota; Metazoa; Chordata; Mammalia; Artiodactyla; Bovidae. The record is from Ensembl.
AGCUUAGCAGAAAGGUGUGGGCAGUGGAGGCGGAAGCAGUCACCGGAGCCCCUUGAAGGUGGAGUGAUCAGAACCAAUUAAGCUGACAGUGGAAGAGCAAAACUCAGGCAACUGAUACAAGAAAAUUCACCGUGAAAAGAAAACUGUAAAACUGACACUGGGAAAGUGAUUCUCUGAACUUAGAGGUCAACUUGAACCAGGAAAGAUGGAACCCGUGGAAAGAUUUGGCUCACCGCGCUGAACAGGUGCGGCCAUCAAAGUGAGUGGGUGACGCUUGUCCGAGUCCUGCGGAGUGAGCCAGUGCUGUGUGACUCACCUUCGUGAUAUCAGUAAAGCUCCAAGCCUCUUGCCUGGGAAUUGACAAAGGAAACUCUAUUCUGAAUAUGUCACUAUUUGAAUCUUUAAAUGUAAUCCACUUACCAGUCAACUGACAAACGUUCUCCAUAUUCUUCAGGUUGUUUCUAAUCUUUCUCCUAAUCACUUUUGCAGCCUGGCUGGAUUUUAUUGGGUUUAUGUGUGUUAGCUUUGAGAAGGAAUGGAAACACCUGCUUCUCUGAGAUGAUCAUUAUGUACCACCCCCUGCCUCGUCCCCCACCACAGCUCGGGUAGAGCAGAAAGGUGAUCUCAUAGGGUUUUUCCACACAAUUAUUCUGAUUUUUAAAACACAAGUAUGUGAAAGCCCCAAUCAUUGCCUCUUAAAAUCCCCUUUGUGUUCAAAGAGGAAGCUUGGGGAAUAGUUUCAGCAAAGUAUCGGGAGUAUCAGAUAGCACUGAUUCACCCAGUUCUGGAAACAAACCUCAGUUUCUUCAAUCAUUGGUUCAAGAUGAGAAAACUCCAAAAAUGUGAAAACUUCCCUUUGUCGUGUACUAAUUUGGCCACAAACUAGAGAUCAGCCUGUCCUCUGACAAAUGUGACACGUGAAUUUGACAAGUGUUCCGUCUUCUUCCACCCCAGUUCAUGCUGCGCCCUUCUGGCUACAUUGCUCCCUGGGUUCUCUAUUCAAGUCUUCCUCAUCUUUGGAGGUCCCACUGUCUCCUGGUAACCUUCUCCAACUUACUGGCUUAGAGGGAGCUUUUCCUCCCCUGAACUCUGGCACAUAUAUCAGAAUCUCUCAAUUGACAUUUAGUCAAUUUCCAGGGUAGAGAUUUUGCUGAAUUCUUACUCCCACACCUGUAGGGGUGCUGGUGCUUUGCCUACAGUGCUGAUGUGUAGUGUUGGCUGGGCAUCAGGAUUACCUGUGCAGCUUUUAGGGAUUACACAUGUCCCAGUCUCACACCACACCUUCUGAAUCAGGCUCACUGCUUGGGUGAUUCUGAUUUACCCCUGGAGUGAGAGCUACCACUUUGCCAUUAUUGUAGGAAUUACAUGAGCUAAUAUGUUGAAGUGAAGUGAAGUGUUAGUCACUCAAAGGUGUCCAGCUCUUUUCAACCCCAUGGACUAGGGCUCUCCAGGCUCCUCUGUCCAUGGGAUUCUCCAGAGAAGGAUACUGAAGUGGGUUGCCCUUUCCUUCUCUAGGAGAUCUUCCCAACCCAGGGGUUGAACCCAGGUCUCCUGCAUUGCAGGCAGACUCUUUACUGUGUGAGCCACCAGCGAAGCUCUCAGUAGAGGUAUAUUGACAGGCACUUUUUUUUUUUUUUUAAUUAAGCUCUAGACUUUCAUUAUCGGAGAAGGCAAUGGCACCCCACUCCAGUACUCUUGCCUGGAAAAUCCCAUGGACGGAGGAGCCUGGUGGGCUGCAGUCCAUGGGGUCGCUAAGAGUCGGACACGACUGAGUGACUUCACUUUCACUUUUCACUUUCCUGCAUUGGAGAAGGCAGUGGCAACCCACUCCAGUGUUCUUGCCUGGAGGAUCCCAGGGACGGGGGAGCCUGGUGGGCUGCUGUCUCUGGGGUCGCACAGAGUUGGACACAACUGAAGCGACUUAGCAGCAGCAGCAGCAGACUUUCAUUAUAAAUUACAACUUGAAUGCUAUGGCUGCUUCCUAGCUCCUCCUUCAGCCGCUAGCUCCUAGUCCCUUCCUUUUCAGCAGAACCUCUAUAUGUUUCGAGGGCUUCCCCUCCUCAACACAGUCCGCUUGCUUCAGGGGAAGUCCUCCCCACCCUCAGUGUGAGGGGAGGGGCUGAACGUCUAUGAGGUUAAGUCCAUGGCUCAGGAACAGGUGUGUGACCCAGUUACGGCCACUGAGAAGCAAGAAGAGUGCUAAAGGCUCUGGGAAGGGUCUUCCUCUUUACUCUUUCUCCUGCUAUUAUCUUUGUUACUGGCAGCCACCUGUGGUCUUUCUCUCUCUCCCUCCUCUUUCCCCCUUUUCCAGAAGGGGGAAAGAAGGUUUAGGAUGAAUCUGAAAAAUCAUGCAUCGUUAAUGUUGAGCAAAACAAACCUGAGUUGAUCUCAAUUUGGACUUCCAUGUAUGUGCACCAAUAAAUGCCUAAUUGUUUAAAACAGUUCUGUUAUUGUGGCUGAAUUAUCCUUCUAGACAUACUUGUGUUUAUUCCUUUGAUCCCAAGUAUCACCUGGCAUAAUGC